UACGUAGGUGGCAAGCGUUAUCCGGAUUUACUGGGUGUAAAGGGCGUGUAGGCGGUUCUGCAAGUCGGGUGUGAAAUUUCCGGGCUUAACCCGGACGGGUCACCCGAAACUGCGGAACUUGAGUACUGGAGAGGAUAGUGGAAUUCCUAGUGUAGCGGUAAAAUGCGUAGAUAUUAGGAGGAACACCAGUGGCGAAGGCGGCUAUCUGGACAGUAACUGACGCUGAGGCGCGAAAGCGUGGGGAGCAAACAGGAUUAGAUACCCCGGUAGUCCCUGAGCGGGCUGGCAA
Molecule: ribosomal RNA, 289 nt
Filed under: uncultured prokaryote
Description: partial 16S ribosomal RNA
Rfam family: Bacterial small subunit ribosomal RNA
Source: RNAcentral